RNAcentral lists this ribosomal RNA (390 nucleotides) under Triticum aestivum (bread wheat). RNAcentral describes it as "partial small subunit ribosomal RNA". The record is from RNAcentral. Lineage: Eukaryota; Viridiplantae; Streptophyta; Magnoliopsida; Poales; Poaceae.
AUGGAACAGCCACAAUCUUUGACAUAUGGUGGUUCUUCAGUGCGCGUAUGGAAGGCCGAGAAGUUCUAUUGCUCGUAUACGCCAAGUUCAGAGAAGUUGCCGCCAACGGCGCCGGAGCAGCGGCAGGGGCGGAGCUUUGUACGGGCAGACCUGGGCCAUGGCCCGCCCAGGAUUUUUUUUUUUGCAUCAGUUCGACAAAAAAAGUGUACAAUAGUUCAAACUCUGAGAGCUAUUAAGUUUUAUUUUUUUAGAAUGGGAGUUGUAUGUUUACUCUCUGCCUGUACAGUGCAUUUUGUAUUCCUGGUCGUUGUAGUUUUUUUUGUGUUAAUAAAAAUGAAUUAUGUAUUUGUUAAUCAUUCCUCCACUUCCACUAGAAGAAAAGUGAUUUAG